RNAcentral lists this ribosomal RNA (280 nucleotides) under uncultured bacterium. RNAcentral's name for it is "partial 16S ribosomal RNA". It matches the Rfam family "Bacterial small subunit ribosomal RNA", at positions 506 to 784 of the family's 1533-position model. The record is from RNAcentral.
UGCCAGCCGCCGCGGUAAUACGGAGGGUGCGAGCGUUGUCCGGAAUCACUGGGCGUAAAGAGUACGUAGGCGGUCUUUUAAGUCACCUGUGAAAUUUCGGGGCUCAACCCCGAACCUGCAGGUGAUACUGGAAGACUUGAGCAUGGUAGGGGCAAGUGGAAUUCCCGGUGUAGCGGUGGAAUGCGUAGAUAUCGGGAAGAACAUCGGUGGCGAAGGCGACUUGCUGGGCCAUAUGCUGACGCUGAGGUACGAAAGCGUGGGGAGCGAACGGGAUUAGAUA